UACGUAGGGUGCGAGCGUUAAUCGGAAUUACUGGGCGUAAAGCGUGCGCAGGCGGUGAUGUAAGACAGUUGUGAAAUCCCCGGGCUCAACCUGGGAACUGCAUUCAAAACUGUCGAGCUAGAGUAUGGUAGAGGGUGGUGGAAUUUCCUGUGUAGCGGUGAAAUGCGUAGAUAUAGGAAGGAACACCGAUGGCGAAGGCAAUCCCCUGGACCUGUACUGACGCUCAUGCACGAAAGCGUGGGGAGCAAACAGG
Molecule: ribosomal RNA, 253 nt
Filed under: uncultured bacterium
Lineage: Bacteria
Description: partial 16S ribosomal RNA
Rfam family: Bacterial small subunit ribosomal RNA
Source: RNAcentral